Molecule: small RNA, 486 nt
Filed under: Cryptococcus neoformans H99
Lineage: Eukaryota; Fungi; Basidiomycota; Tremellomycetes; Tremellales; Cryptococcaceae
Description: Cryptococcus neoformans var. grubii H99 hypothetical RNA
Source: RNAcentral
AUAAGCUAUUUAAUUAAUUAUGCCCGUCACAAAGCACAAAAAGGAAAAACCCCGGAUGGUUGUUGACAGCACCACUUAAAAUACGAUAACUGCCAUUGGUCUGCUGGUCGGAGCUGUACUUCUAGUAUCAGAGCCAGCAUCUUGACAUAAUUAUUAUGACAUCCUUCGUAAGUGUGGGAAUUUGUGGGUUUUAGAUCAAUUCUGGAUGGCAUUAUUACUUCUCAAGAACAUGUAGUAAUAAAAACCUGCUGAAGGGCAUUUGUCUAUUUCGCCGACAGAAGAAGGGAGAAGAAAGGCUCCUUCCUUCCUUGCCGUUUCCCGUUCAAAGAAUGCAAUGCCUCAGCUUCCAAUCGAUUUGAUUGAUUAAUAGAUGUUGGAGAACGUCGAUCUUCUGCUUAAUUUUUGUUUGACAUAAUUAAUUGAUGAACAAGAUAAGUUUCAUUUAAUUUGUCUCAGAUCGUAUAUGCAGUUAGUAUGCAGCCGCAG